GACGAACCGUCCAAACGUUAUUCGGAAUCACUGGGCUUAAAGGGUGCGUAGGCGGCGCGGAAAGUUGGGUGUGAAAUCCCUCGGCUCAACCGAGGAAUUGCGCCCAAAACUUCCGUGCUCGAGGAAGAUAGAGGUGAGCGGAACUUAGGGUGGAGCGGUGAAAUGCGUUGAUAUCCUAAGGAACACCGGUGGCGAAAGCGGCUCACUGGAUCUUUUCUGACGCUGAGGCACGAAAGCUAGGGUAGCGAACGGG
RNAcentral lists this ribosomal RNA (253 nucleotides) under uncultured bacterium. RNAcentral's name for it is "partial 16S ribosomal RNA". It matches the Rfam family "Bacterial small subunit ribosomal RNA", at positions 524 to 776 of the family's 1533-position model. The record is from RNAcentral. RNAcentral also lists the same sequence under 1 other name.